AUGGAUUCUGUCGAGGAAUUGCCUACAUCGGAGGGAUUCGACACGAUCAUGGUGGUGGUCGACCGUUUGACCAAGUUCUCCCACUUCAUGCCCCUUCGCCAUCCUUUCAAUGCAACGCAAGUGGCACGAGCCUUCUGGGACUCCAUCAUCAAGCUCCACGGCGUUCCGCACACGAUCGUCUCUGACCGCGACAAGAUAUUCACAAGCGCCAUGUGGAGGGAAAUUCUCGCAGCCGCUGGUACCAAGCUCCUCUAUUCCACAGCAUACCAUCCACAGACGGACGGGCAGAGCGAACGGGUGAACCAGUGCCUCAAGAUGUUCCUUCGCUGUGCCAUCAACGACCAGCCCAAGCAAUGGCGUAGGUGGCUUCCUGCAGCAGAGUUCUGGUACAAUUCAACGCAUCACUCUUCGCUUCGCUGCUCUCCGUUCAAGGCACUGUACGAGCGGGAUCCCAACUUGGGAGGACUCCCAGCUUUCAGCAGCGAGCUGCCCACCGACGCAGCCACAGGCGACCUUGACUGGGUGGCGCACACCGAGAUGCUGUGA
RNAcentral lists this ribosomal RNA (546 nucleotides) under Triticum aestivum (bread wheat). Its description in RNAcentral is "partial small subunit ribosomal RNA". The record is from RNAcentral. Lineage: Eukaryota; Viridiplantae; Streptophyta; Magnoliopsida; Poales; Poaceae.